GUAGGGAAUAUUGCGCAAUGGAGGCAACUCUGACGCAGCCAUGCCGCGUGCAGGAAGAAGGCGCUACGCGUUGUAAACUGCUUUUAACCGGGAAGAAACCCCAGGACGUGUCCUGGGUUGACGGUACCGGAGGAAUAAGCACCGGCUAACUUCGUGCCAGCAGCCGCGGUAAUACGAAGGGUGCAAGCGUUAUCCGGAUUCAUUGGGUUUAAAGGGUGCGUAGGCGGAGCGUUAAGUCAGUGGUGAAAUCCUGCAGCUUAACUGUAGACUUGCCAUUGAUACUGGCGCUCUUGAGUGCGCUUGAAGUGGGCGGAAUGUGCCGUGUAGCGGUGAAAUGCUUAGAUAUGGCACAGAACACCAAUUGCGAAGGCAGCUCACUAAGGCGAUACUGACGCUGAGGCACGAAAGCGUGGGGAUCGAACAGGAUUAGAUACCCCAGUAGUCC
RNAcentral lists this ribosomal RNA (445 nucleotides) under uncultured bacterium. RNAcentral describes it as "bacterial SSU rRNA". It matches the Rfam family "Bacterial small subunit ribosomal RNA", at positions 354 to 796 of the family's 1533-position model. The record is from RNAcentral.